Molecule: ribosomal RNA, 521 nt
Filed under: Aspergillus melleus
Lineage: Eukaryota; Fungi; Ascomycota; Eurotiomycetes; Eurotiales; Aspergillaceae
Description: eukaryotic LSU rRNA
Rfam family: 5.8S ribosomal RNA (bases 144-297)
Source: RNAcentral
CCUCCCACCCGUGUAUACCGUACCUUGUUGCUUCGGCGAGCCCGCCCCCUUCUCGUUAGGGGGGCACAGCGCUCGCCGGAGACACCAACGUGAACACUGUCUGAAGUUUUGUCGUCUGAGUCGAUUGUAUCGCAAUCAGUUAAAACUUUCAACAAUGGAUCUCUUGGUUCCGGCAUCGAUGAAGAACGCAGCGAAAUGCGAUAAUUAAUGUGAAUUGCAGAAUUCAGUGAAUCAUCGAGUCUUUGAACGCACAUUGCACCCCCUGGUAUUCCGGGGGGUAUGCCUGUCCGAGCGUCAUUGCUGCCCUCAAGCACGGCUUGUGUGUUGGGUCGUCGUCCCCCCGGGGACGGGCCCGAAAGGCAGCGGCGGCACCGCGUCCGGUCCUCGAGCGUAUGGGGCUUUGUCACACCGCUCUUGUAGGCCCGGCCGGCUGCUGGCCGACGCUGAAAAGCAACCAACUAUUUCUCCAGGUUGACCUCGGAUCAGGUAGGGAUACCCGCUGAACUUAAGCAUAUCAAUAA